ACGGUGAGUAACACGUAUGCAAUCCACCUGUAACAGGGGGAGUAACCCGGAGAAAUCCGACUAAUACCCAUAAUAUGGGCGCUCCGCAUGGAGAGUCCAUUAAAGAGAGCAAUCUUGGUUACAGACGAGCAUGCGCUCCAUUAGCCAGUUGGCGGGGUAACGGCCCACCAAGGCGACGAUGGAUAGGGGUUCUGAGAGGAAGGUCCCCCACAUUGGAACUGAGACACGGUCCAA
This 234-nucleotide ribosomal RNA is filed under the name uncultured bacterium. RNAcentral describes it as "partial 16S ribosomal RNA". It matches the Rfam family "Bacterial small subunit ribosomal RNA", at positions 105 to 334 of the family's 1533-position model. The record is from RNAcentral.